AAGUGAUUUUCUGUUGUUUAUAACUGGGGUUUGUGGGUUGCCUCAUAUUAGGAUUUCAUGGUAUCUAUACACCAGAUCCCUUCAAUCACUUGCUGCCACUGGCGAGGCCAUUCGUGUGGGCACCAAUUACGACUUUCCACGCCUUCAUGGAAUUCCAGUGAACCAUAGAACACAAGGUGUGUAGGGAGAGGGUCUUCAGAGAUUGGCUUGAUGCACUAGAUGUUUACCUCACCAUGAAAUCCUGCAUCUUGUAACUCCUUGGUGCUUCUAUCAUUCCAAAUGAUUCUAGUUAUCCUCUGGAGCCCUUUUCUAAUGAUUCCUGAGCCAGCCAAGAAAUUCAGGCAAGCAUACCUAGAAUGACCACACAAAGACAUGUGGUGAUACAGCAAACAUAUGGAACACCAGAAUUCAGAUUCUGCUGUUGGUAUGAGUUAGGCAGCACCUUGCAGUACCACCCAGUUAAGUGCUCAUAAAGCAGCUGUGUAUGCAGUUACACAACAUGUGCAUCCAAAGAAGAAUUCCCCUGAAUGAGCCACUACUUGAUGAUGAUGAUGACUAUAAAGCUUAAGAAUAGAGAGGAAGCAUCCAAGCUGGACUUGGCUCACUGCAGAGCUCUCAACAAAAAUGUGUUUUCUUAGGCUUUCUCUCUCUCUCUCUCUCUCUCUCUCUCUCUCUCUCUCUCUCUCUCUCUCUCUCUCUCUCUCUCUCUCUCUCUUGAUGUUUUAUGCCCAUUAAGGACAGCAUCUAAGGAGAUGACCUUGGCAGAAGAGCCUCCAUGUCUUCCAGUUGAAAUCUUCCUUCCUCACUUGUUCAAAGUGCUUUUUAUCUCACAUGCAUGUACUACCUUAACAUAUCUUAACAUCCAAGUGCCCUUCCAGUCUUUUUAUGUGCUCAUGUAUACUUAAGUAUUGUCAAAAUAAAAGAGAAGUUUA
Molecule: long non-coding RNA, 932 nt
Organism: Scylla paramamosain (green mud crab)
Lineage: Eukaryota; Metazoa; Arthropoda; Malacostraca; Decapoda; Portunidae
Exons: 3
Source: RefSeq, a predicted model, not a curated record